AUUGAACGCUGGCGGCAGGCCUAACACAUGCAAGUCGAGCGAGUGGCGGACGGGUGAGUAAUGUCUGGGAAACUGCCCGAUGGAGGGGGAUAACUACUGGAAACGGUAGCUAAUACCGCAUACCAUCCGAUGUUCCCAGAUGGGAUUAGCUCGUAGUUGGGGUAACGGCUCACCAAGGCGACGAUCCCUAGCUGGUCUGAUAGGAUGAUCAGCCACAAUGGAAAUGAGACUCGGCACAGACUCCUACGGGAGGCAGCAGUGGGGAAUAUUGCACAAUGGGCGCAAUCCUGAUGCAGCCAUGCCGCGUGUAUGAAGAAGGCCUUCGGGUUGUAAAGUACUUUCAGCGGGGAGGCGUUACCCGCAGAAGAAGCACCGGCUAACUCCGUGCCAGCAGCCGCGGUAAUUC
Molecule: ribosomal RNA, 406 nt
Filed under: uncultured bacterium
Lineage: Bacteria
Description: partial 16S ribosomal RNA
Rfam family: Bacterial small subunit ribosomal RNA
Source: RNAcentral